CCGCACCAAACCAGCAGCGCGUCCGGGUGGAGGAUAGGGCCCUGAGAGCUGUCAGGCCCCCGGGCAGGGGUUUUGAGACCAGGUGUGGUUUAGAAAAGGAGGGAAACCACAAGCCGUCUACUGAGGCACCGAGAAGGAGACGGGACCGACCCUCUCUACCACCAGCCUUAAGGGGCACAGAAUUCAGACUUUAGGAUGUCUUUAGGGCAUGUUGCGGAUGGCAAGGCCUGGAGAGAGGAAGGUGAUCCAGUCGGGGAGUGACUGAAUACCCAAGAAGCAGACAUCCCGGAAGAAAACCUGUAAGAACUAUCUGGGUAGAUGUGACUGGCCCCUGUCUGGGCCAUCAGCUGAUGACAAGUGGCCUGAUAAUGAUAAUUACUGCAGCAUUGUCCAGCGUGUCCAAACUUGGAAUCCAAGUGAAUGUCCACUCAUCAGCAGAUGGCUGAGGGUUACCUCCUCCACCCCGUAAGUCAACUUGAACUACUAACUUCCUCUCAGCACCAGCUUCCUGGAAAAUGCAAGCAGCCCAGACUUCUAAAACCUUUUGGUAAAAAUUGACAUUAAGGAGCCAUUUCUCUGUUUUAAAUAGUCACUAAAAUA
This is a long non-coding RNA of Zalophus californianus (California sea lion), 600 nucleotides long. RefSeq lists it as uncharacterized. Lineage: Eukaryota; Metazoa; Chordata; Mammalia; Carnivora; Otariidae. The record is from RefSeq and is a predicted model, not a curated record. The transcript is spliced from 4 exons.